GUCCACGCCUUAAACGAUGAAUACUAGACGUUGGGGUUAAACUCAGUGUCGCAGCUAACGCAUUAAGUAUUCCACCUGGGGAGUACGAUCGCAAGGUUGAAACUCAAAGGAAUUGACGGGGCCCGCACAAGCAGUGGAGCAUGUGGUUCAAUUCGAUGCAACGCGAAGAACCUUACCUAGGCUUGACAUGCUAGCUAAAGCCAAAUGAAAGUUGGUGUUCCGCAAGGAGAGCUAGUACAGAUGCUGCAUGGCUGUCGU
Molecule: ribosomal RNA, 258 nt
Filed under: uncultured bacterium
Lineage: Bacteria
Description: partial 16S ribosomal RNA
Rfam family: Bacterial small subunit ribosomal RNA
Source: RNAcentral